Molecule: ribosomal RNA, 440 nt
Filed under: uncultured bacterium
Lineage: Bacteria
Description: partial 16S ribosomal RNA
Rfam family: Bacterial small subunit ribosomal RNA
Source: RNAcentral
CCUACGGGGGGCAGCAGUGGGGAAUAUUGCACAAUGGGGGAAACCCUGAUGCAGCGACGCCGCGUGAGUGAAGAAGUAUCUCGGUACGUAAAGCUCUAUCAGCAGGGAAGAUAAUGACGGUACCUGACCAAGAAGCCACGGCUAACUACGGGCCAGCAGCCGCCGUAAUACGUAGGGUGCAAGCGUUAACCGGAUUUACUGGGUGAAACGGGAGCGGAGACGGCAGCACAAGUCUGGAGUGAAAUCCCGGGGCUUAACCCCGGAACUGCUUUGGAAACUGGGCGGCUUGAGUGCAGGAGGGGGAAGCAGAAUUCCUGGUGUAGCGGUGAAAUGCGUAGAGAUUAGGAGGAAUACCGGGGGCGAAGGCGGCUUACUGGACGGUAACUGACGUUGAGGCGCGAAAGCGUGGGGAGCAAACAGGAUUAGAUACCCUUGUAGUC